RNAcentral lists this ribosomal RNA (465 nucleotides) under uncultured bacterium. RNAcentral's name for it is "partial 16S ribosomal RNA". It matches the Rfam family "Bacterial small subunit ribosomal RNA", at positions 338 to 795 of the family's 1533-position model. The record is from RNAcentral.
CCUACGGGGGGCAGCAGUAGGGAAUCUUCCACAAUGGGCGAAAGCCUGAUGGAGCAACGCCGCGUGGGUGAAGAAGGUCUUCGGAUCGUAAAACCCUGUUGUUAGAGAAGAAAGUGCGUGAGAGUAACUGUUCACGUUUCGACGGUAUCUAACCAGAAAGCCACGGCUAACUACGUGCCAGCAGCCGCGGUAAUACGUAGGUGGCAAGCGUUAUCCGGAUUGAUUGGGCGUAAAGGGAGCGCAGGCGGUCUUUUAAGUCUGAUGUGAAAGCCUUCGGCUUAACCGGAGUAGUGCAUUGGAAACUGGGAGACUUGAGUGCAGAAGAGGAGAGUGGAACUCCAUGUGUAGCGGUGAAAUGCGUAGAUAUAUGGCAGAACACCAGUGGCGAAAGUGGCUCUCUGGUCUGUAACUGACGCUGAGGUUCGAAAGCGUGGGUAGCAAACAGGAUUAGAUACCCUGGUAGUC